ACUCUUGGAACCGGAGCGUCCACUGAGUGGCGCCGCAGCCCGCAACUUCCGCAGUAGAUCCCGGCCGGCGUCUCCUCCCCGCUGCACACUGCAGGCUCAUCCGCUCACACACGCUCCGUGUUGGGUUACAGUGACAAGGGCCCCUGUCUGAACCACGACUUUUAGAAAGAUAAUAUUACAGGCUCACAACUGAUCCAAUCCUGCAGCACAAAAAUUGAGACAGGGAAGGUUAAAGCACUCUGAAUGCACGGGACCAUACUGCAGGUGUUUGUGCCUUUGGCGAAGCCUUGGUGUUUUGUUCCUCCUGAGCUCCGCAUGAUGACCCGCAUGAAGACAGGUCUCACAAAGCGCCUCCCAGCACUCCUCCAUGUUCUCCUCCAUCUGCCUCCUGUCCAUUGAUCAGCCUUCCAGGGCAUCAGUCUGUUUAACAUCUGCUACAAGUUCCAGCAGCUCAGACGAUGACAAUCAUCAGCUCCGUUAUCAGGACCGUCAUGUGAUCAGCUGUAUGAAGAGGUGACUCUGGGCGGCUCCACUGACAAUAAGCUCUCACCUAAAUAAAGCCUGCUGGGUUUUGAUCGAG
This is a long non-coding RNA of Acanthochromis polyacanthus (spiny chromis), 580 nucleotides long. RefSeq lists it as uncharacterized. The transcript is spliced from 5 exons. NCBI's taxonomy places the organism in Eukaryota, Metazoa, Chordata, Actinopteri, Pomacentridae. The record is from RefSeq and is a predicted model, not a curated record.